This 401-nucleotide long non-coding RNA is filed under the name Theobroma cacao (cacao). RNAcentral describes it as "long non-coding RNA (TCAC_LNC002758)". Lineage: Eukaryota; Viridiplantae; Streptophyta; Magnoliopsida; Malvales; Malvaceae. The record is from RNAcentral.
GCCAAUACGAGGAGAACCAGAAGUACUACGCGGUGAAAGCGGAGGAGUACUUGCAGCAGGAAACAUGGAAGGCAAUAAAUUGGUUGUAGAACUGGUCAAAUUCCCCGUGGCAUUCAACGACGACGUCCCCGUUCUCGCAUCAGUAAGCAAAUUCUUAACCUAAUUAAAUUUUUUUAAAAAAAGGGCAAAAUAAAAGGUUAAAAAUAGAAACUUAAAUGAAAAAGGAAGAUUACUGAUUGGUAAGAAGCGUUACCAGGCGACCAGUUUCCGGGAGGGAAAGCCAGAGGGAAAACAGUUCUUCUGCGAGAAAGGGAUUGGAUUUGAGAGCUAACGGGGAGAGCUCCGGGAGCUGAAGUGAAUCAGGGUCAAGAGAUGCCACGUCACCUACCGCCUCCACUUCC